This is a long non-coding RNA of Symphalangus syndactylus (siamang), 328 nucleotides long. RefSeq lists it as uncharacterized. The record is from RefSeq and is a predicted model, not a curated record. NCBI's taxonomy places the organism in Eukaryota, Metazoa, Chordata, Mammalia, Primates, Hylobatidae.
UGAAGCCUGGGAUGACGCAAUCCAUGGGUUGUGAGAGGCAACUCAAGUUUUUCCAGCCGCCUGUGGAUUCUCAAACUACAGUAGGAAGGCAGCUUUUGUACAUCCACUCUUGCAGAUCCAGUGACCACAGAUGAGGCCAUCUUUUUUUCACACAGUAAGAGCGGGAUUGGAAUAGAGAGAUGGGGAAUGAGACAGAGAGGAGGCUUGCCACCUCCAUUUGAGCAUCAUUGCUUGGGGAAAGGCUGAAGCAAACAUGGCCCUAAUCAGUUUUACAUCUCUGUUUAAUUUUAUUGGAAAGAAGAGCUGGCAAUGCAUCACAGAGGCCGGG